Molecule: long non-coding RNA, 842 nt
Organism: Brassica rapa (field mustard)
Lineage: Eukaryota; Viridiplantae; Streptophyta; Magnoliopsida; Brassicales; Brassicaceae
Source: RefSeq, a predicted model, not a curated record
UUAAAUGAGUGGAAGAUGAGUACCAUCUGAUUAAAAACCUGCAAAAAAGAUAGAUUAGUAAGAAAGACAUGAGACAAAACUGAAAAAUUCAUAUAAAGUUUGGUGUUUUCAAGUCAAAGAGAUUAGAGUGGGUUUGGAGAGUUUUAGUUUGGAAAAAAAGUAAGAACUUUAUACAACAAGAAGUUACCAAAUGAAGAAAAAUCAGACAUAAAAACUUACCAAAACGCUCAGAUCAAUUAUGAAAGGGAGACAUGGGAGAAGACUCCGUCAGAAGACUUCCCGGAAGUCGUCUGGAAGACUUCCCGGAAGUCGUCUGGAAGACUUCCCGGAAGUCGUCUGGAAGACUUCCCGGAAGUCGUCUGGAAGACUUCCCGGAAGUCGUCUGGAAGACUUCCCGGAAGUCGUCUGGAAGACUUCCCGGAAGUCGUCUGGAAGACUUCCCGGAAGUCGUCUGGAAGACUUCCCGGAAGUCGUCUGGAAGACUUCCCGGAAGUCGUCUGGAAGACUUCCCGGAAGUCGUCUGGAAGACUUCACGGAAGUCGUCUGGAAGACUUCACGGAAGUCGUCUAGAAGUCUUCUAAUCCAGAAGUCGUCUAGAAGUCUUCUAAUCCAGAAGUCUUCCAAAUCUGAAAAACCUACAUAUCCAAAAACGUUUAAAUGACUUAAAAGCAGAGAAAAUGAGUGGAAGAUUAGAUAGAUCUACCUUUAUAGAACACACAAAAAUACAUAUCUAAAAUUAAUAGAUCUACCUUUAAAUGAGUGGAAGAUGAGAACCAUGUGAUGAAAAACUUGUAAAAACAAGAUAAAUUAAUGAGAAAGACAUGAGACAAAAAUAAUAAAUU